CCCCCUCCCCCACGUCUGGACGGAGUCCCCUUCCAUCUCUCCCCCCUUUCUUCUUCCUCCCCACGCCAGCCGCCGCCCGGGACCUACCUAGGGUUUCCCCGCGCCGCCGCCGAAUCGCAGAGCAGGAGGAGGAGAGGAGAUGGGCACGCCGGAGACCUCGCGGGAGCCGUGCCCGGACCGCAUCCUCGACGACGUUGGCGGCGCGUUCGGGAUGGGGGCGGUGGGCGGCUCCAUCUUCCAUUUCCUCAAGGGCACCUACAACUCGCCCAACGGCGAGCGCCUGCUCGGCGGGGCCCAGCAGGUGCGCUUGAACGCGCCGCGCGUCGGCGGGAGCUUCGCCGUCUGGGGCGGCCUCUUCUCCGCCUUCGACUGCACCAUGGUCUUCGUGCGCCAGAAGGAGGACCCCUGGAACUCCAUCAUAGCCGGCGCCGCCACGGGAGGCUUCCUCUCCAUGCGCCAGGGCCCCGGCGCCGCCGGACGCUCCGCGCUCAUGGGCGGCUGCCUCCUCGCGCUCAUCGAGGGCGCCGGCCUCAUGCUCAACCGCGUCCUCGCCGCGCCGCAGAACCUCCCGCCGCUCCCCACCGACGACCCCAACCUGGCCGGCGCGAUGGUGGGGGGAGCCGGCGGCUUCCAAGGCGUUGGCGGCUUCCCAAGCAUGCCCCAGCAACCCGUGCCCACUGCGGAGGUCGUCAGCCCCAGCGGCGGCGGUAGCUGGUUCGGGGGCCUCUUCGGCAAGAAGGAGGAGGAGAAGAAGCCCAGCGGCAGCGGCAGCGGCGGCAAGUCGGAGAUAUUAGAGGGCUUUGACACGCCCAGCCCUCCGAUACCAUCCUUCGACCUCAAGUGAAAAAAAAGGACAUGAUUGAUCGUGGUAUUCAUUGCUGUGGUUUAUAUUUCAUCGCUCUUAACUCCGAGGAAGCUUUUGUGGUUAAUUAUUUUCCCCUGAGUUCUGCCUCCUACUUCCACCACAAAGCACUAAAUCUUCAGGUGGCCUUUCACCAUGGAUUGUGGGAGGUUCUGCCUUCCAUUUUCUCAAGGCUGCAUGUCCUCUAGACUGUAAAAUAGCUUUAUGUGAUCUAUGAGUAGUUCAGUUCAGUAUGUAGGUUUGUGGAAGACUUAAUGUUGGUUGCUUCAUCUUAAACUAUUAGUGGUGCGUUAUUCUAUGGCUGUCUGUUUAUGAGCUGGUAGAGCUUGUUAUGUUCUAUAUGGACAUGAGAAUAAAUCUGUCAAGAAUAUUAGGUCUUGUUUGCUUUUAUCAUGUUGUCUUACUCCAUUUGAGAACUCAUAGGCCCGUGUUUAAUUGUGAUAGAGAACAUGGUAAACAUUCCUUUUUAUCUA
Hordeum vulgare subsp. vulgare (domesticated barley) is the source of this 1335-nucleotide RNA transcript. It is a transcript of the gene named mitochondrial import inner membrane translocase subunit TIM17-2-like, with no coding region annotated. Lineage: Eukaryota; Viridiplantae; Streptophyta; Magnoliopsida; Poales; Poaceae. The record is from RefSeq and is a predicted model, not a curated record. The transcript has 3 exons.